This 128-nucleotide ribosomal RNA is filed under the name Paramormyrops kingsleyae. Lineage: Eukaryota; Metazoa; Chordata; Actinopteri; Osteoglossiformes; Mormyridae. The record is from RNAcentral.
CCUUUCACCCCAGCAUGUAUGCCACCUGCAGUUCAGAUGAGGUAAUUCACCAGAAGCUAAGCAGGUCUGGGCCGGCCCAGUACUUGGAUGGGAGACUAACAAGAAAAGCUGGAUUGCUGCUGAAAGAG